This 440-nucleotide ribosomal RNA is filed under the name uncultured bacterium. RNAcentral's name for it is "partial 16S ribosomal RNA". It matches the Rfam family "Bacterial small subunit ribosomal RNA", at positions 339 to 795 of the family's 1533-position model. The record is from RNAcentral.
CUACGGGGCGCUGCAGUGGGGAAUAUUGCACAAUGGGCGCAAGCCUGAUGCAGCAACGCCGCGUGAGUGAAGAAGGCCUUCGGGUCGUAAAGCUCUGUCCUCUGGGACGAAGAAAUGACGGUACCAGAGGAGGAAGCCCCGGCUAACUACGUGCCAGCAGCCGCGGUAAUACGUAGGGGGCAAGCGUUAUCCGGAAUCACUGGGCGUAAAGGGUGCGUAGGGGGACUAUCAAGUCAGAAGUGAAAGGCAGUGGCUUAACCAUUGUAAGCUUUUGAAACUGAUGGGCUUGAGUGUAGGAGAGGUAAGUGGAAUUCCUAGUGUAGCGGUGAAAUGCGUAGAUAUUAGGAGGAACACCAGUGGCGAAGGCGACUUACUGGACUAUUACUGACACUGAGGCACGAAAGCGUGGGGAGCGAACAGGAUUAGAUACCCUAGUAGUC